This 495-nucleotide ribosomal RNA is filed under the name uncultured bacterium. RNAcentral describes it as "partial 16S ribosomal RNA". It matches the Rfam family "Bacterial small subunit ribosomal RNA", at positions 28 to 505 of the family's 1533-position model. The record is from RNAcentral.
GAUGAACGCUGGCGGCGUGCCUAAUACAUGCAAGUCGAGCGAACGGACGAGAAGCUUGCUUCUCUGAUGUUAGCGGCGGACGGGUGAGUAACACGUGGAUAACCUACCUAUAAGACUGGGAUAACUUCGGGAAACCGGAGCUAAUACCGGAUAAUAUUUUGAACCGCAUGGUUCAAAAGUGAAAGACGGUCUUGCUGUCACUUAUAGAUGGAUCCGCGCUGCAUUAGCUAGUUGGUAAGGUAACGGCUUACCAAGGCAACGAUGCAUAGCCGACCUGAGAGGGGGCUGGGCCACGAGGGAAUGGGAACGCGGAACAGACCCCUAGGGGGGGGAGGAGGGGGAAGUUUGACGAAAUGGGGAAAAGCGUGACGGAGCAGCGCCGCGAGAGUGAUAGAGUUCUGCGGUUGGUAAAACUUUGUUAUUGGAAAAAAAGAUAUCUGUAAAUAACUGUGCAGAACUAGGCGGUACCAAAACAGAAAGCCACCUCUAACUGCG